Molecule: antisense RNA, 75 nt
Filed under: Kitasatospora aureofaciens
Lineage: Bacteria; Bacillati; Actinomycetota; Actinomycetes; Kitasatosporales; Streptomycetaceae
Also listed under: 5 other names
Description: ASpks sRNA
Rfam family: ASpks TB sRNA
Source: RNAcentral
CUUCAUGGCGCCGAUCAGCACGGGCCGGUCGGCGGGGCGCUGCUGUCCGUACGUGGCCAGCAGCGCGUGCGCCUC